UACGUAGGGUCCGAGCGUUGUCCGGAAUUACUGGGCGUAAAGAGCUCGUAGGCGGUCUGUCGCGUCGGCUGUGAAAACUCUCGGCUCAACCGGGGGCCUGCAGUCGAUACGGGCAGACUAGAGUGCUGUAGGGGAGACUGGAAUUCCUGGUGUAGCGGUGAAAUGCGCAGAUAUCAGGAGGAACACCGGUGGCGAAGGCGGGUCUCUGGGCAGUAACUGACGCUGAGGAGCGAAAGCGUGGGGAGCGAACAGG
Molecule: ribosomal RNA, 253 nt
Filed under: uncultured bacterium
Lineage: Bacteria
Description: partial 16S ribosomal RNA
Rfam family: Bacterial small subunit ribosomal RNA
Source: RNAcentral